Molecule: long non-coding RNA, 703 nt
Filed under: Pan troglodytes (chimpanzee)
Lineage: Eukaryota; Metazoa; Chordata; Mammalia; Primates; Hominidae
Description: long non-coding RNA NONPTRT010633
Source: RNAcentral
CAGAACUCCCAGGGGACCCCAAGGCUUCAGCCAUGAUGUCCAGGAGGAUAGUAGGACCCUGAAGAGGGAUGGAGAGAAGCAGAAGGAGAGAAGAUGCCCAGCAUGGGACCUGCUGAGCCCAGUGUCAAGGUGCAGCCUCCAGUUACAGCACAAAACCAGAAGGCAUCCUGUUAGCCAAAGUUAAUGUGAUUGUGAAGUGCAAUUUAACAUCAACCAACAUUUUCUGAGCACCCAUUCUGAGCCAAAUUCUGUGCUGGGAUCUAGGAAGACGAAAGCAAGUAAGACCCAAUUUCUGCCUUCAAGAGUUCUUCUAAGGGAAGAAACAGACACAAAGAGAUCAUCGGAACACAACACUGUACGUGCUAGAAUGAGGGAAGGGAAGAUACUAUAGAAGUGCAGGAAAGCAAAGGGUGACUUAUGCCACAAAAGAGGACAUUUGAGCAACACCUUCAUGGAUAAGCUCACCUAUCAGGAAAAAGAGGAAGUGAGUAAUUCAGGGAAAAGCAGCAGCCAUAUGCAAAGGCAUAAAAGAAAUAAACAGGGUGGUGCAUUCAGGAAACUGCCAAAUGAUUCUGUUAGCUGGAGGAGGGGAAGAUGAAAAUGUUAAGAGAUGAGGAAGGAUGAAAGAAGUUAGGGCUCAAUGACACUGUUAUACUUAAUGCUUAGGAGUUUUAACUUUAUAGGCUGGAGAGAAAAAUGAGAA